AUUAAACUGAAGAGUUUGAUCCUGGCUCAGAUUGAACGCUGGUGGCAUGCUUAACACAUGCAAGUCGAACGGUAACAGGUCUUAGGAUGCUGACGAGUGGCGGACGGGUGAGUAACGCGUAGGAAUCUGCCCAUUUGAGGGGGAUACCAGUUGGAAACGACUGUUAAUACCGCAUAAUAUCUGUGGAUUAAAGGUGGCUUUCGGGCUGUCGCAGAUGGAUGAGCCUGCGUUGGAUUAGCUAGUUGGU
RNAcentral lists this ribosomal RNA (247 nucleotides) under Francisella tularensis. RNAcentral describes it as "partial 16S ribosomal RNA". It matches the Rfam family "Bacterial small subunit ribosomal RNA", at positions 1 to 253 of the family's 1533-position model. The record is from RNAcentral. Lineage: Bacteria; Pseudomonadati; Pseudomonadota; Gammaproteobacteria; Thiotrichales; Francisellaceae.